RNAcentral lists this ribosomal RNA (438 nucleotides) under uncultured bacterium. Its description in RNAcentral is "partial 16S ribosomal RNA". It matches the Rfam family "Bacterial small subunit ribosomal RNA", at positions 339 to 795 of the family's 1533-position model. The record is from RNAcentral.
CUACGGAUGCAGCAGUGGGGAAUAUUGCACAAUGGAGGAAACUCUGAUGCAGCAACGCCGCGUGGAGGAUGACACUUUUCGGAGCGUAAACUCCUUUUAUAUAGGAAGAAGAUGACGGUACUAUAUGAAUAAGCGCCGGCUAACUCCGUGCCAGCAGCCGCGGUAAUACGGAGGGCGCAAGCGUUACUCGGAAUCACUGGGCGUUAAGAGCGUGUAGGCGGAUUAAAAAGUCAGAAGUGAAAUCCUAUAGCUUAACUAUAGAACUGCUUCUGAAACUCUUAAUCUAGAAUAUGGGAGAGGUAGAUGGAAUUUCUGGUGUAGGGGUAAAAUCCGUAGAGAUCAGAAGGAAUACCGAUUGCGAAGGCGAUCUACUAGAACAUUAUUGACGCUGAGACGCGAAAGCGUGGGGAGCAAACAGGAUUAGAUACCCUGGUAGUC